Molecule: long non-coding RNA, 568 nt
Organism: Sinocyclocheilus rhinocerous
Lineage: Eukaryota; Metazoa; Chordata; Actinopteri; Cypriniformes; Cyprinidae
Exons: 3
Source: RefSeq, a predicted model, not a curated record
AUCUAGACCGCAUUUCCUACGUCCCAAACAUGCCGAACAUUCCAAGCGCUUUUUAAGUGUCUUGCUAUGCUGCCUAGGUAGAGGCUGCGCAAUAGAUUUAGCGGCAGGCCGCGCGAGUGACUUCCGGUGAGUGUUGCGUGGCUGUAAAGAAGCUCUGAUUGAGUUCAGCUUUUGCGGCACCGAACAGACGCUCGUCUCACUGCCGCAGAACCAAAUGAACGAACGCCCUCAUUUCCCUUACCUCCAGACAUGACAGCACUGAAAUGAUGCAGUAUUUAGACAUCCCAUCCUCACAAAACAUGGACGCCAUUAAGAGGAGAAUAUUAAAGGAGUGAAUAAUUGUUACCGACAGCACUAUUUUACACUGAACUGGAUCGUUAGAUUAGCUGGCUAGCAGAUAGAUUUUCAGUCUCUGCUGGGUGGUGUUGCCCGAGGCCGGACCCCAGCGAUGGGAAUCAUUUUCACAAAAUUAUGGAGGCUUUUUAACCACCAAGAGCACAAAGUCAUUAUUGUUGGGCUGGACAAUGCAGGAAAGACCACCAUACUUUAUCAGUUCUCUAUGAAUGAG